AAAAAAAAAAAAGCUGUUUCCUUAUGUCCAACCUAAAUCUCCCGUCCUUUAGUUUGAAACCAUUUCGCCUUGUCCUAUCACAACAGACCCUGCUAAGGAGUCUAUCCCUUUCUUUCUUCAACUGGGACAGAUCUCACACAAAAUGUGUCAGAGUCCAUGACAAUUUUUUGAACUUGGUUAUGUUUUUUAAGAAUAGGACAAAAUCAAUUCUAGGUCAAGCUCAAGGCCUAUUAAGUUUGCUAAUGUCUCUGAUAGUUGCUUAGUUGAAGCAUGUAGGAACCAAAGCUAACAUGUGACCUUGCCUUGUUAAUCAGGCACAGAUUUUUGCUAGUUGCCAAAGGAUUCCUUAAUCAGCAACCUGUUGGCUAAUUGGAGAUUCCUCAGGUGUUUUUUAUUCCUCACCUGCUAUGAAUUUGUACUAUUUAAAGACUUAAGGGUGAUGGGACAGAGAAGAGAGAAUUCAAAUGUUCUCUGUUUCAGUUGAAACAUGGAAACAGUGAUCAUUUUCACUAGCAUGUGUAAGUAUGAAAAAGUUUUAAAAGCUGCAAAUAGGGCAGCCAGUGUAACUUCGGUAACUGGGCAGAAGCUGCAGGCAAAAGAAGAAAUACCCUCUUGGAUUUCAAGGGAUUAUGUGAGUAGAGUACGCAAGGCUUGCUUUCUUGACCUCUCUAUGUUGCACUGGUGGGGACUAUUGAUUAGUAAACUCUGAAAUAUAAGGUGAAGGUAUCUUACAUCUUGUUUAAGCCUGUCUGUGUACCACGAGCAGUAGCAUCUGUACGUAGUGUUACCAUGACUUCUGCUAUUGCUUAAUGUUCUUUUAGUCAGAUGAAGUCAUUUCAGUUUUCCAUCUGUCUUGGCUUUUUAUUGAAAAGGAAAUAAAUAUAGGUGUCUGCAUGUGCUCUUUAUGUAGGCGUGUUGAUGACUUUUGCUUUCCCUAGAGUUUUCUUUAAAUAGCAGGCCUUCCGCCCGAGGGGAGAUCAAAUGGUUUGGACUUAAUCUGCAGUCUUUUAAAUGUUUGGAGACAUCUAUUAUAUGAGUAGAAGUAUUUUUCAGUGGGGGAGGGAAGAGAUUUGGUUUCAGUUUCAGCUCUAAGCACCACAUAGGAUGCUGUUUCCAAAUGACAUUGAUAACCUAGAGGAAAUAGCCAAAAUUAUGGAUGGAAAAUUUAAUGAAGACAAACUAUUAGAAUUUAAAAAUACAGCCUGGGAGAAUAAGUGGUAUUAGAGGACAAAUCUUAGAGGGCUUAGGUAUCUGAAAGGUUAAAUGAAAAGUACCUUUCUGUAACUUGCUUUGGAAUUCUAGUUUUGGAAUGGCAUUCCAGUGUUGGGCCCCACAUUUUAAAAUAAACAGUCUGGGGGAGGCAUUUGUUACAGGACGGUAACAGAGGUCAUAAGAGAUUUGGAAACUGAGUUGGGAAGAAUUUCGAGGAGGUGAUUUGUUCAGGCAAACAAGAAAUGGGCAGAUGUAUUUGCUGUUUAAAAAGCUAUGAGUGAUUUGAGAAGGAUGAUCCGUUUAUGCUGUGUAAUCUCUUUGUGCUGAUCGUAGGAGAAAUCAUAGCUUGGAUUUCGUCAGGAAGAGUUUCUAGCAGUGAGGAGCUGCUGCUGACUCUGAGCAUGGAGUAUGGGAGGUCACAGAUUCCCUUUGCUUGAGGCCCUCUUAGGAAACGGUUUGUCGGUCACCUGCUCCAGCUUUGUCUGGAUGUUUGUGAACCUGCCCCUGAUGGAGAUGCAUCCGCUGGUCCCUGAGAUCCCAUCCCGCCCACCUCUCUCUGAUUUCACUGGAGAGAAUUCCCAUGGCUGUAACAAACUCAGCUUUUGUUGUUAGAGCGUGUGCUGUUGGAUCUAGCUAAUGGCUUACAAAUGCUUACAGUAAAGAAGAUUUUUACAAGAAGGGAUAUUGAAAAAUAUCCACCCUCAGCCUCCUUCAGUCAAGCAGGAAUGUGAAAUGUAGUUGCAUGUGCUAUGUCUCUGAUAAUCAGCCUAACUUUCCCCAGGUGCCCCCAUCACCUCCUCAUUGCAGACGCAGUUUUUCCCACUUGGUUCCCUUUAAUCUUGUUUCUACAUAUCUCGCCCUCUUUGGACAAGAGGAAUAAUGUACUGCCCUUCUAUCAGUCUGUUUUUGCUCAUUGGUAAGACAAGCACAGAAGACAGAUCCUUCUUGUGGUGAGAAGGCUUAAUUUGGGCACUCUGCUCUACUUGUGACCAGUUGUCACAAAAUGCAUGAGAUGUUCUUUGACGUGUUAGCUCUUCUGUCAAACUUGCUUUGGUGAGUGAGUUUAAAGAUUACCGGGGGACAAUGUAUGGUGUGGUUGUUAGAAUGAAGCAGCUAGAAAAUGUUAUAACAAGUAAAGCUGCGCUGUUGGGAGUUGUAUUAAUUAAAAUUGGUAUGGUGAUUCACUGUAUCCAAGGUGACUGAGGAUUAAAAGCUUUUUGAUGAGAAUUGAGCACUUAGACUGCAGGUGGCAGAAGAGGUGACGGUUCAAAGACACUGGUGUGCUCAGCAUCAUUAGUCUGUUCGUAGAAAGCAAGAGAAUGCGUUUCUGAACUGUGUACUGGGCUUUCUUGCAUCAUCCAGGGUUACCGUUGCUUAUUUUGAAAGAUAAAAUUUAUCAUGGAGUAUUUAAAUAACAGAGCUGGUAAUGGGAAAUCUGUUGCAAGGCCAGGAAUAAAUACCAAAUCUUCAGGCUUCGUUAAUCACAAGCCUCACAUCUCAUGCUAUUCUUAAGUCUUUUUCUGUGUUCAUAGAACUACUGUUUUCACAGCAUAAAAUGAGAGAAAAUGUUCAGCCUCAAGGCUAAGAUGGCACUCUGCAUGUACUAGGUGCAUAGUGAUGGGUGCAGCUGGGGGGGACCACCUGUAGUUAUCACCUGGAAAGCUAAUCAGAACAAUUUCAUGCCUGCAUAUAAAAUGGAGUCACAAGGAGCAAUAAGCAUGUAUGUUUUUAAAAAGUGUCUUAGUGGACUAAAAUUUUUGUCAUUCUGUAAGAAAAUCCAUCAUGGUGUUACCUGUAUUUUAUAUACAUUUGUUUUCCAAAGGUAGCAGAAUGUUUUUUUUUGCCAAGCAUUACCCAUGUUAUUUACUAAAUAAAUCUAAGCAUCUGUUCAGUUUUCUAUUUCUAUCUAUUUAUGUAGCUUAUUUGCAAUUAUUUUCAUAUCCACUCCUACACUUUUCCACAGCAAUUUUUUGUUGAACUUCAGACUGUAAGUUGAAGACGAUUGUAGCUUGUAACAGCCUUGGUCAACUUUUUUGCAUUAGGCCAGUGGAGCAGGUGUUGUCUUUGUUCUGCAAGGAUACUUUCAUGGCCCUCAUCACUGCAUUAUUUGAGUGCCUCCCAAGUACUUCACAGAAAACAUCCUGUUGGAAUAGGAACAUAUGACUAUCCUUAUUUUACAGAUGAUCAGCUGAGAUAUUUGGUGAUCUGCCCAUAGCUGAGCUCAAAAUUCAUGGGAGAGUUCGGAAUAAAACCUGGAGUUCCUGCUCAUGGCUCUCACUAACAGACAAUGCUGCCUUCUUUCUUUGCACAGCUGUGAACUUCAGGUGUAGAUGAUGAUGAUGUUUCCAGUCAGUUGGUUUACAGUUUUGCUGCUGCCUAUUCUUGUUUCUAACUUGUCUUUACAUUGUUUUAAAACUGCAGAAGUAUCCUGCAGCCUCUCAACUUCUAACUUUGUUUCCUAUCUUACAAAAAAAGGAGAGCGAUCGCUGCUCUGCUACCUCAUUUAUAAAUAUUGAGUAGAAACAAUUUGAGGCUGACCCAUGUGCUAGAAGUUUAGUAAAUAUAACACAGCUACAAGAUCAUAGUACCCAAGGCGCUACUGUAUCUGUACAAAAAAAAACCCAAAAAAAAACAAAAAACAGCCAGGAUGACCAUCCAGAGCAACCUUUAUUUGACAGCUCCUGUUAUCACUGCUGUCAGACCUGGCACUCACUUUAGGAAUGCUUAGUUUUUCCUUAGCGUCGUCUCUCUUUGUACUGCUUGUGUUUUGCUCUUUGAGAUAAAAAUGGAUGCCCUGCCUUCUCAGAGCUGGUGAGUGCCUGCAGCAGCAUACUAAAUUUUGAAAACUAUAUCCAAUUGUCCUGCAUCAUCUUACAAAGGACCGUCAGCCUAUAAGAGGAUGGAAAUUGAUAUAAAAAUAGAGCACAUUUUUAACACUGAAGUCUAUAGUAUAGUAAGGGUGAGUGUCUGUAACAUGAAAUACAAUCUCUAAUGCGACUGCGGGUUGCUAAGCUGGAUGCAGAAAUUAGAGUCAAAUAGUGAGGGUUGUGUUACGUAGGCUGUCGGGUCGGGUAAGCAUAUAAACCCAUUCUGGUCUUAAAGUUAGGGCUGUUGUGCAGGAGUCUGGCUAAAAUCAGAGUGAGUUCUGCUUGCAUCUGGAACAGAAUUAUAGCUUCUUGUGUGAUGCAGAACUGUAACACUAUAGCGUUGAACUGAGUGGUGGUAGUACAACAAUGGUCUCAUACAAUGAGCAUCUUACUGAGGUGAGCUGGGAAGCCAGUCUAACCUGUAUGAUUUUAGAUGUUAUGUUUCCUUCUUGUGUUUAGGAAUGAAUUGCUUCCACACGCGGUGAACUGAGCUGUUGCCAGUACUCUUAUGAAGUAAUGAUCUUAGAAAGUAAAGCUUAGCUCUUUAAUGUGGCUUGCCUUACCUAUUUAAUACCAGUGAGAAAAAUCUUACAUUUCACCUAAACUACGAGUGUUUAGUUUCCAGCAUCCUGGAUAAUUGGUAGCUUGUCUGAAAAGACUUGAACAAUUACUCGCUAUAGAAAAAUGACUCUAAAGAACUUCUCUGUGGAAACCAAAGGUAAAGGUGUUGAAUCUGGACAAUAAAACUUAGAUCAAAGUAGCCAGUGGGAAGGGCUGUGAGAGGAGCAGAUUGUCCUUUAAGCUUCACCAUGUUGUGCAGGGUGUUACCUCUCUCUUCCUCUAAUCAAAUUUCAUGAAGAAAGUAAAGCUAUUCUUCCCUGUUGUAAUUCAAUCAGAGCCCUCCGCUAGAUCACCAGGAAAGCACCUGCCCUUCUUGCUUCAGAUUUGGUAGAUAGAACCCAGUUUUUUUUUUUUUAUAGCAGUUAGUUAAUCCAUAACCAAAGCGUGAGCCUACAGCGGCACCUGCCAUGCAGGUGAGCUUUCAGUCUUGUUAAUGUAUAAAUAUAUAUAGAUUUUUGUAUUAAACUCGCACACUUGCAUGCUCAAUAGUGAUCAUCAUAAGUAGAAUUUAAUAAAAUGAGGUCAUAAAUGCCUAAUGUGCUUUUUGUUGGGCAAUAAAAUUGCCCACGUGUUGCAAUUGAGGUCUGAAGUGAACUUGCUUGCUGGGGCCUCUUUAGGGUACAUACAAAGACCAACUGAGCACAUGAAAAAUGUUUUUCAUGCUGUUUUUUUUUUUUCUCCCUUUUGGUCCACUGGCCUUUCCUCAACUGUCUUGGGUUGGUGCCCGUUGUAAUAUUUACUGCCAUCAAACUCUGCUUUGGAAUUAGGCACGCAUUUGAAACAUCUGCAGUUCUGAGGCCCUCCACUGUGACUAUUAAGCUUUUGUCUCUGGCAUUUUCCAAAGUCCUUGAUUCUCUUCUGGUCUCCUGAGUGAUCCUGAUACAGUCCUCUAGAGUUCUGUAAAGCAGGCUCCUGUACUUUCUAAUAUUACAAAUAUUGGAAAGUGAAGCGUGGGUUGAAGGCCUAACUUCACGUGUAAUGUUUUCCAAAACUGACUGAUGUUUAGGUAGCUACUGAAAUUUGUGUGUGGAGGACCUUAUAUUCAGUUCUCCCCAAAGAUUCACGCAUGUGAUGUCUUAAUUUGUGUAGGGGCGGGAUGUUACCUGGCUUAGCACAAGGCACUCAUGAACAGACGUUCAGGGAGGAUGCAUCUGAUUUGCUGAAAAAAAGGGUUAAGUUAAAUCCCAUGUAGAUAGGAUGAUGUUUCAGGUAAGUAAAAGCGUACGGAGGAAUCGCACUGAGACAAAGGGAUUUUUUUUUUUUUAAGGAGGAAUUAAAUGAGCUUUGUCCUAGCUAUGCUGUGUUGCACAACUAUGUUUUCUGUGGCCACCAGCAGGUCGGUGUGCUAAAAGACCAGCUGAUGUUUUACAGAACAAACUCUUGAUGGAAUGUUUGCAAGGACCACCCCAUACAUGAGACUGUCAAGUGGUGUUAUGGUGUCUCAUGGCCUUUACUGAUACUGCAUUUUGAUGACCAUUGGUGAUGGCUCCGCAAUUUCAUUGUAGGACUGUGAUGAAUACAUUCCUGUAGAAGGGAUGCUUUGAAUGUUAUUAGAUCUUGUUCCCUGUCUUGCACCUUGUGAUGCUAUUCACACUCAAGAGUAUGUAAAACGCUGCCAUUUGAGUUUGGAAGUACCUUACUUCAGAGGAGGGCUUACAGUGGUUAAUUGGACUGGAGCCCUCUGAUUAACACAGUGUGCUUUGAAUCAUAGAAUCAUAGAGGUCUUUUCCAACCUUGGACUAGAUGAUCUUUGAGUCACCACCUGUCCACGUACCACCAGUAUUGCCCACAAUAUUGAAAAAUAUGCAAUACUGAACAAUGUUGAGAUAUGAGAUGCCUUUCAUUGUACAAGGUUAUAGUCACAAUGCAGUGUUUCUGUAAGUAUGUAACUGGUUAAUUGCAUCUUAGUGGGUUAACUGUAACUUAAAAAUGAGUACUCCUGUGGAAGAUUGUGGUAGGUCAGACUCAGUGCUCUAGAAAUGCUCUCAGGAUACAUUCUAAAAAUCAAUACAAAUGCUGUUUGUUAAGAUACAAAUAAAUAAUAUGAAAUGUAGACUCAUUUGAGCUCAUUUAAAAUAUAAUGCUGUUUAUUUGUGAGGAUGCCAUGUUACAGAAGGCCAUAUAAGACAAUAAACAUCGAAGUUACUUCAUUCUUUUGAAAAGGAAUGCAAACUAACAAAAGCUUGUGAAAAUGAAUCUGUACUUGUCAACCUCAAUUCUGAGGUUCAGUUUUCCGUGGUGCUUUGCUCAUAUGAACAUUAAAAAUGAACAAGAAUUAAGCUCACUGUAUUCUUUCAGCUCUUGUUUCUGUUUCAGGUUGCGACUGAGAGUGUAGGAAUAAAUAAAAAAUGAUCAGUGUUAUCUGCUGAUAUCACUUAAGGAAAUUUGCAGAAUCAUAGAAUAGCCUGGGUUGGAAGGGACCUAUGUAGGUCAUGGAGUCCGCCUUGACUGAUGUAUAGGACUCGUCUCCAGAGUUUCCCAGUCACGAACUAGUGCUUUGUGGGAGGUCAGGAGUCUUCAGGUGCUAUAGUCUCCCUUUAAGACACCUGCUUGCAGAGGCGAGUAAUUCUCGAGUAGCCAGCUGCUGGUGUGAAUGGAACAUGACAAGAUUUAGUUCUAUGUUAAUUCUCUACUUGUGGCUUUUGCCAGCAGGGGGAGUUGAAGACCCCAUCUUAGACUUGGUCUGUGCAGGUUGGGCUGGAGGAUCAGCACUUUUGGAUGGUCUCAGUGUAACAUUCUCAGCAUAGUUAAUUGCUGGGGCCUGCAUCAAGGGUUUGGAAUACAAUAAGGAGUUUCUUGCUCAUUUUUUAAUGGAAAAAUGCAGGAAGAUAUGUUUUGAGGCAAUGAAUUAUCAGUACUAAACAUCUAUUUGUACCAAAACAUACAUAAUAAAUAAGAAAGUGAAACUUCUUACCACAUGGAAAAAUCCAGUGUCACGUCUCAAUAAAAUAUAGGAAAAUUGCAUAGACUGCAAAUGAGUCUCAAAACAAUCUCCAAUAUCUGAGAAACUCAGAGCAGCACUGGACACAAUUUUCUGAAAAUCUUCCCUAAAUUUUAACACAGUGAUCAAUUUUUCAGGUAGAUGGUUCUAGGGAAAGAAUCUUUAGGUUUGUAGGGUGUAUCCUGCGACUUCUUGUGUUCUGAUGACAGGAACAUCCUGCUAUCUCUCGUGCGCCAAAGUCAGAAAAUUGAUAUGUGUGGAAAUAAAUCAAGGACUGUUGGACUUCCUUUAAACCUGUAGCAUGGUUCCUCUGUUUUUUUGUCAAUAAGCCCACAGUUAAGCGUUUAUCUAUUGAACAGUCAGGGUCUUUUAUAGCAUCUGAAGGUGAUAACUGAAAAUAUAAUCAACAUUUUAAAGUAUUGUAUAAAUUGGUCUUGUAAAUUUUAAAUUCUCCUUAAUUGAGCAGAUACCCAUGUUACUGCCCUAGCGGUGAGGACAAAUCCUUCAGAACUGAGUAGCUUGUUCUUGUUUGUAAAUAUGUAUUGACAACAACUUCUUUGCUAGUUUAUUGAAUUUCUUUAAACUAGCAUUCUGCAACUGUAUGUUUUCCUUUGGAGAAAAUCCGGAGUGCUUGAACCUUUGAAGGCUUCUCUUAAAAAUAAUUGUGGGUGGGACGGAUCUUCAAGAUACAAGUAAUAGUGUUUCCCUUUCUCCCUUAAACCUGAUGGGCUACAACUUGUGUUUAUAUACUGUUGCAAACUUAAUUUAGAUGUAGUAGUAAGGUCUAAAACAAGUUGUGCUUUGUAAAGAAAUCAAAGAAAGAAACUGAACGGUGCCUGAGUGGAAACAGUGAGGGAAUCAGCGUGUCUGGCAUUGACAUAAUACUGCGAAAUCAAUGCUUUGAUCAACUGUAAAGCAUAACAGCUGUGUGAAAGGUUUGCUGUGGUUAGCUGGCAUUAUCUCUUGUCCAAAGCCAAGUACAUUGUAAACCAGUAAAAAUUAACUGCCGGAGCACAAUGAUGUUUUUGUGACUGGGAAUUCAGAUAAAAUUAUGCUUCUGUUGGCAGAAUGAUAAAAAGAGCUGGGUCCAUUUGCAUACAGGUGAAGAGGGGCGGCGAUGUCCCAUGUUGUGCAGAGUCCAGGGCACCACAGGUAUGCAAAGCAUUCAGCUGUAAGGGCUGGCUUUAAUUAAGCUUUAUUUUCACCUGGUUAGUUAUGGAGUGGGAGGAAAUGAGCAGUACCGUGCUGAGUCAUUGGGUGGCAGCAGAGCAUUUACCACUUCCCAAGGCAUCCCAACAGAAGGAACGACUGCAGUUCUGCUUGAUUUUGAUGUAGGUGUCUGAAAGCAAGGCUUGCACUCUGAAACAAUAUCUCAGCAUGAUAUCUAUGGUGAGAGUCCUCUCUCUUCGAGACAGAUUUCCCUCCAAAAGUUUUAACAUGAGUGUAUGUAUGUAUGAUGUAUACAGAUGUAUAUGCACACGCAAAAACUGUAUCUCUGUGGCCUCUGCCCAUUUCAGCUCUGUGACAGUGAGGAGCUUUAAUGUGGCCGCUACCAUUGCCAGUUCCCAAAUUAGAUCCCAUAUCCCUGGCAGUUCAAGCUUCUUCUGAAGAUGUGCAGUGUGGUGGUCUUGUGGAUGAAGCCAUGUCCAAGUUCUAAAUUAUUUUUCUGCUGGAAGUGGUCCUGUGAAUGUGGCCAGCAUUAGCUAGUUAGCGAAAACUGCCCAUGUUUUUGUUAGUCAUGGCUCUUUGUAAGAAAAGCGUAAGAGGCAGGACAGUUGGUGUUUAUCAUUAGUGUUUCACAGUGGCUGUGAGCAACCUGGUCUCCUGGGAGGUGUCCCUGCCUAUAGCAGUGGAGUCAGAACCAGGUGAUCUUGAAGGUCCCUUCCAUCCCAAACCUUUUUAUUAAUUCAAGGAAGGAGUUAAUCUCUCUGUACUUAUUCUGCAAUUUAAACAUUGAGGGUUUUUUUUAAUUUGAAAGUUGCGGGCAGUGCUUGUAGGACUUUGAAAAUGCUGUCCUCUUUUGGAACUAAGUAUAUUAUUUGUGUAUUGUUUCAAUUAAGAGAUCAAUAACUCAUUUCCAUUUGUUUCAUGUUGAUUCUGCACACCUCACAAUGUAGUUCAUGCAAAGUAAUGUGCUGUGGCCUCGAGGAGAAUGAAUAAAGUGAAUUUACUUUCUCCCUGCCAUUUUCUCUUACUAGCUGAAGUAAUCCUCUUUUUAACUGGUGGAUCCACAAAACCCUGGCCUUUGAAUUUGCCUAUACAUGGGGCAAGAGUCCCCUCAUGCAGAGUUUUAUUAUUUAUUUCCAUGCUUUGUGGUUAACUUUAGCAGAAUGUUGAGAUGCAGAGUGGAAAUAAUAGGAAUUACAGUACUGAGGGCAAAGUGUGCAAACGCAUGGUAUCUCUUUGCCACUUGUGUGUGUGUGCUAGGAAUGUGGUCAUCAGUGAGAACCUGUUGGUAGAAACAAUACAGAGAUUUUUAUCUGUAGAGAUUUAGUUUGAAUACAUGUUGGGAUUGUGUCAGCCUAUGAUCAUUAAGAGAACUGGCGGUAGGAAAUGAAAGUGACUGAUGAGAAUUCUGUCAGUUUUUGUCUGCAGUACACGUAGCAGGUAUUUUCCAUUUUCUUUUGUACAAAGAAAAGGAGAGAUGCUGGCAGAAGGUAUAAGACUUUUUGAAAUCUGUUAUAAAUGUUACAGCGCUGAUGUUUCAUGUCCUUUGAAGACUCUGCGUUGCUUCUUUUUGAGGAAUCAGCUCUCUAAAUUUCAACUUCGCAGCCCUCCAGUUAAUUAAUGCUGUUUUUUUAACAAAUUGCCUCUGGCUUUCAUUUUCUCCCCAUUCAGGGAUUUAUCAACCUGACUGCAGAAAAAACACAGUGCCUAUUGCCCUGUGCCUAUUUUACAUGCUGACAAUAGGAAACCUCUUUUUUUCCCCACAAAUUUGCGAUGACGUUCUCAUCUUCUCUAGGGGUUACUUCAAGAGGAUAACUGCUAUUUCCUCCCAGUUCAAGCUUCCCUGUGUCAGGGAUAUUUGAUCAUUUCCAGUAGAUGGAAAAAUGCAGUUUGCAGGCUGAGAGCUGCACGUGUAGCCCUGCAGGCUGUUGUGAGGGAUGCUAUGUUAUGGCAAAUUUCUAGGAGAUGAAACCAUCAUGUUUAACAGAAUAGCAUGAGGAUCUCUAAGGCAAGCUCUUCCUGGUGUCCGAAGUUCCUACAGCUUUAGUGGCUGCAACAAAAGGUCAGAUCUGCUAGUGGCUCUGGGAGGAAUUCCUGGAGGUUCCCUUGCAUCUGCCUUGGAUUCAACUGAAUUGAAUCCAAAUCCCACAGGUUUCAAAGAAUAAUGCUGGAUUCAGUGACUUGCUUGCUUUCACAAAAGAUCAGUUUAGCUAGAAAGCCUUGGGCUGUAAUUAGGAAAGUCUUUAUGCAAUUCUUUGAGCAAGGAGGAAAGAGGUUACUGUCAUUUUGAAGAAUGCCAACCUAAUGCAUCAAAGUAGUCAUGCAUUUUGGGGGUACUUUGAGGUUGGACAUUAGGAAAAUUUUCUUCUUGGAAAGAGUGGUGAUGCACUGGCAUAGGCUGCCCAGGGUGGUGGUGGAGUCACAAUGCCUGAAGGUGUUCCACAGCUGUGGGGGUGUGGUAUGAACUAACAUGGUCAGUGGGCAUGGUGGCAUGGGUUGGUGGUCAGACUGGGUGAUGUUGGAAGUCUUUUCUGACCUUAAUGAUUCUAAGAAGUGCAGUUAUUUCAAAUGCGGAAGUGACAUCUCUGUUUUGGCAGCAGAGCAAGAUACUUGUGACCAUUUGAGCACCAUUGGCAUCUGGUGGUUUUAGGUGCCUUGGUGUUCCAGUAUGUGCACUGCUCUCCUGGUGGGAAUGAUUUCCCAGGAAAACUGAAAUGUAAAAAUAGUAGAGUAGUUCACUUGUAAUCUACACUAAACAGGAGCUAUAGUGCUGGCAAGUGGUGGUACAGAUACCUCAGCUACUUACCUCGUGCACGCAAUAAUCCGUAUGGUUGCAUUAAUACUGUGAAUUCUGCUGUAAUACCAUCUAGAAUAUUUCAGAUAAAUUCUGAUUGUAGAAGCUUUCAGAAGUGCCUACACAGCUCUUUCUUCAGCAUGUUGAAUGUUCUUGUUCAAGUCCUGAAGCAUUACCCUCAUUUAGUGGUAAAUUAGGUUCUUGAGAUGGGCCAAUGACAAAUCAGGUUUUUAUGCCUCUUUUCCAGUGUACCGCAGACCUUUGGAAUUUCAUGUGGUCUUCUAUAAAAGGAAAUUAAUGAUUAUGUAUUAUUCAUAAAAUAAUGUUUCCAUCAUUUUGUCCGUUUCCUCUCCAUAAAUUCACCAGCAGAGGGCUGAAGGAUUUACCACCUACUUAAUUUAGUUUAGAUUCAUGAAUACACUGCUUAAACUUCCCUCUUGAAAGAAAAUGUUCCUGCCAGGUUGGAGCAUAGAUCUGAAAUACUCUGUGCUGUCUGAGUACAUGACAUAUGCUGCAUAGCGUACUGAGCUGGGAGGUACACCCUCUCCAUGGCUUAGUAAUGUUCACGGCAAAAACUUCACUUUCCAAGCAUUUUGAAGCAUUAUUGUUUUAUUUCAGAGCUGCUGAGUGAAUGCCUUUCUGGAAUGUGCAGUUUUAAGCUAUUUAGAUCUUCCUCGACUGCAUGAGGGAGAUUAUUAAAUAAGGUGGCUGUCAUGGUCAGUCUCAAUCUGAAACUGAUGCAUCUUUCUACAGCAGCCUGGGCUGAGAGCUUAGUGCGUGCUCAGAAAAGUGCUUCCGCUCUUCUUUUAGCACGCCCUACUGAGCUGGGUUAAAAGCAGGACUUCACGUUCAGAGAACGUAGCCAAAGGUGGAAACCUGAUCUUCAUGGGAAAGAAAACAGAUCAUUUUGGCAUUUUGGAAUGGGCUAGAUCCUGCAAUAACCCGACACAUUUUUUCCUAAAUAGAAGACCGGGAAUCUUAGUUCCUUCUUUCUUAAAAGUGGUAGAAAUUCAUUCACUGCUUUGCAGAAUUUGUGGUUAAGUCGCUUUUGAGCUUUUCUGCAGGAAAAUGGAGGUAUUUCUUGAUUCUUAGUCCACUGAAGAGUCUGAAUGAUUUCCACUGGUUUUGGUGGCCUUUGGUCAGACAUGUGGUGUAUUAUGAAAAUAGCAGAGAAUGUCACUGUGGUUUUUUUGACCCUAAAAGCAGAUUGGCAACAUACCUAGAACCGAACUUUUCAUAUUUUCCAAGUGCUUUGCUGUUAAGAAAAUUAUGUAAAACGUUGCUAUAAAACUUUCAGUUAAUAAUAUUUAGAUGAACAUGCUCAGAGACCAUUUUGAUGGCUUUCAGAGUGUCUUCCUGAGUCUUUUGGAUUCUUCUUUAACCAAAAGUGAUCUUUUAGGACCUUUUUUGCCAAUGGAACGUUUUCCUAAUUGUAUCCAGGCGUCCCAAUGUAGAGAAAGAGUGAUUGUGAGCAGGAAUAAAUCACUGCUAAGUACUCUGAAAAGAUAAAUGAGCAAGACUUGAAUAAAAACAAACUCACCACCAUGACUUACUAUUUCUGAGGUGCCUAGAAUAAAAGCCUAAUUGGACUUCACAUUUGCUUUGUUUGAAAUGUAUGUUUUUGAAAAGAAUUAGCGACUUAGAUUCCAUCACAUUUUGCAUAUUUCUUAUGUGCUUUCUAGGAGUUUCUUUUGUAAAGAUGGAAGUAUGGCUGAUAUCACUCUGGAAAGUAUUUAAAAAGAAACUGCUUUUGCCCUAGAUAUCUCUACUUUUUAUGGUAGUGACUGGAGCAUGCUUAAGAGCCAAGAUGUGUUGUCCCAAAGAAUCUGUCAUAUAAAAAGAUGGUGUGAAGAAAGGAGUACAGAGAAAUUAUCAUCUUAUUGUUGUUAUUGUAUUAUGGUUAUUUUAUUUUUUGAGAUAUAGUAUCUUCUAGGGGAAGCUAGAAGGGGAAGGCACUGAGUAAUCUCUGGGCAUCUUUCUGGGCAUCUGGUCGUCUUUCCAUUGAGAAGUGUAUGGUAUGUUUGAAUAAUUACGCAUAUGUAUGUAUGAACAUGUAUGUUACUAGCAGACUUCUGUUCAUGUGUGCUUUGCUAGUAGUUGCUUGGUGAGCAUACCUGCAUGAAUAUUUAGCAACAUUCUGAUUGCUAUACUAGGUUGUUGUUUUUGCCCUGGUAAAGGCAUGGAGGGGUAUCUGAGAAGCAUGCUUUCUUGAAACUGGUUUCCUGUAGCAUACAGUGCCUCUUUGGUGCUUGUGUGCAAGGUGGGAGGCUGCCCCAGUGGUAGCUAUUGCAAUGCUCCAGCAUGGUCAGUGGUGGAAGAUCUUAUCGUUUGAGGCAAUGUCCUGACAUGGUGUAAGACUAUGGAACGUUCUAUGGCCAUGUGUUGACACAAAAUUAUAAAGCUACCUCAGUUUUUGUAUGUUGUUGAGUUCAGCCACAGCAUCAGUUUUUGAGAUACGUGUGGCUUCUCCCUGGGAGGGUAAUGUCUCUGUCUUCACAGACACAUCAUUUCCUGGUCAAGGUUCUCUAUUCAGAAGUGAAGUUAGGAUGUAAGUAUUCAUGUUUACAAUAUCUCAAAAGUGCUAGAGUCUGACCUUCUCAAAGCUUUGCUUAAUCUCUUCAACCCUUGAUAGGGGAAAAAGAAACAGGUGAGUUGGGAACUUGCUCGAGUUUCAAAAACUAAAGCACACAUGAGCCUCUUCUCCAGUAACUAUCUCUUUUAAAGUGCUCAGUGGUGGAAUGAAAUGCUGGAUUUUUCUCUGCAGAUUGGAGAUGACUCUGGAGUGUUUUUCUUUUCAUUUAACCAAGAAAGCUAAUUAUCAUUAAUAAUGCUACCUCUACUGUUUCACUGUAAUCUUAUUUUAAGGAAGUGUUUGAAUAUUAAGCGUUUUUCCCACAUCAGUGAAACAAUGUACUGUUCUCUGCCAAAAAUCACAUUCGCAUAUCAUCCUCGUUCCUGUAGCUGCAGGGUGAAAUUUGGAAUUUUUCCAGUAGCCCAGCUGCCAAUUUACCAUCAUUGAUCAUUAUCAGGAGUCACUUGAGUUGUCUGAUGUAUAGCAAAGUAUGUUUUUGGCUGCGUGUGAUGUAUGAGCUGUUUUUGGUCUUGGGGACCUGCUUGUACUGGUUUAUGGAAGGCUGUUCUUCAGAACUGAUUGUGGUUUCCUGAGAGAUAGCCCCUAUGUUAUAAUGAAGUAGUAGUGCACUGUUGAAGUGUUACACGUGUGAUAGGGAAGUGAGCUUAGAAGCACAGAAUCAAAGGUGUUGGAAGGGACCCCAAGAGAUCAUAAGUCCAACCCUCCUGCCAAAGUAGGUUCCCUACAGCAGAUCACACACGUAGGCAUCCCGAUGUGUCUUGAAUAUCUCUGUAGAAGGAGACUCCACAACCUCUCUGGGCAACCUGUUCCAAUGCUCCAUCACCCUUACCAUGAAGAAAUUCUUCUGUAUGUCAGUACAGAACUUCCUGUGUUCAAGUUUUAGGCCAUUACUCCUUGUCCUUUUGCUACCUACCACUGAGAAGAGCCUGGCCUCAUUCAUUUGCCUCUCACCUCCUAUUAGAUAUUUAUAAAUGUUAAUUAGAUCGCCUCCUCAGUCUUCAUUUCCCCAGGCUGAACAGACCCAGGUUACUCAGCCUUUCCUCGUAAAGGAGGUGCUCUAGGCCCUUUUAUCGUCUUUGUGGCCCUCUGCUGGACCUGAUCUGAUUAUUUGGCAUUCAGUGGAAGCUCAGCUAUUGAAAUCGAUGAGAGGGGACACAUACCCAGUGCUCUUUUGACUUAAUGUUCAACUCUUAGCGUCCUCAGAGCUGAAUUUUCUGUUAAGAAAGGUAUCGCGAGAUUGAGAGUUGCAUGAGUUUACUAUAAUCCUUGGAGUUAGUGGGGAAAAAAUUAAACUCUAUAUGAGGCUCUUACUUCUGUUGGGGGGGCGGGGGUAUUUUUGUGAAAUGAAGGUACCUCAUAAUAUUUGGUCCCUUAGUUUACUAGUUUAGAGAUGGCUGCAAGAACUUGCUACACUGUGAUUAUGCACAAGAUGCUGCAAAUGCUCUGGGUGCUGAUAUGAAUUUAUUUCUGAGACCCAGAUUUAAUCACUAGUGAGAUUUUCCUGUAGCAGUCAAGCACUUAGACUCGGCCUCACAUUUUGGAUUAAUGCCUUGGUUAAGCAGUCCAGCUAGUCAGCUAAGAUAUAAAAAGCAGAAGGAAUUAGAAAAUCCCAAUUUGAUUGAUCUUAGUAUUUUAUGAUCCUUUUAAUUUGAUUUAGUGAUUCUUGUUUCAUUUUGAGUUCAUUUUUCAGUUCUGCAUUGUUAGGAUUACAUAUGCCAUGUAAGAAUUUGUUUAAAGAUCACUUUUAUUGGGAGUAAAAUAGAAGCUGGAAAUCUUCCUGUUAUUCUAAGGCAUUAUAACAGCUUGUUUGUACGAAGUCUAAAUUUGGAGCCAAAUUUGACUUGCCCUUUAAAGCAGUAAUAACCUUAGAACCUUGCUAAUAAGUGCUGGAAGGUUUGUCAGUGCUCAAAUGAGUCUGAAGAUAUUUUAAUUAUUUGCCAUACUUAGUCUUUAUACUGGUGGGGUUCAAACUGCAACAUAUGGGUCUGCAUCUUACUGCCCUGAAUAGCUGAUCAUAUAUUACUCGGUGUUUGACAGCUGUCCUUAUUGUUCAUAGCCACCCAUACUUUCUCAACACUUUCAUAAUCUAUUAAUCAUUUAUUAACCCUUUAUAAACCAUUUAUAAAUGUACCCUGAAUAAAAAAAAAAAAGUGUGACCAUUCAAUUUCUUCCUUGAGUUUAAUAUUAAAGGCAAGUCCAAGGUCAAGAUGGGCGGAGGGAGGCUUUAGGGAGUUGGUGUAGUUCAUAUUUUGGCCAGUCAGCUGAGGAACCACGUGGAACUAAAAUUAGUAAAGUGUGUGCAGUGGAGAAAGUUCACACGGUGUAAUACGCUGUGGGCAGUAUUAGGGUUGACUUACCCAAUCUGUUAAUGGUAUGGUCUGUCUAGACCUUUGGAACAUUCCUUAGGUCCUUAUUUAAUGUAGGAGGAAUCAUUUCUGAAAUUAGCAUAUAAAUUGUCCAGAGUCAGCAGCCUUUUAAAACAGUAUUUCACCCUUGUGUCAAGGCACAAUCACUUGUUUUAAAAAAUACUGAUACAAAGGCAUAAACUGAGAAAAUUCAUUAAGUUUAAAAAGGGGAAAUGGUCAGGAUUUGAUUUGGGAGGUUUUAUUUGUUUAGUGAUGUUAAUAAGGGGAAGUGUAUGAUGAUAAGGAAACAUCUGGAAAGCUCUACUCACAUGGAAGGUUUACACUUACGUAACUGAAACUGGCAGGUUUUCUGAUUUUUGACAUUACGUUUUCUUCAUUCCUUGGUCUUCCAUGUAACCUGUAAAUAAGCCAUGCUGUGUGUUGUGUUCAUUUAAGGGCUCAGUCCAGCUGAACAAGCCUGGUGCUCAGCGCCAGGAUGCUGAAGGGGGAGGCGCAAGGAACCUGCUGGAGGGAAUCCUCCUCCCCAGCUCCAGUUUCUUUGCUGGCACUUCUGAGGUCUUUGCUUGUUUGCUCUUCAGCUGCCAGGAGUAAUGUACUGUGCCCUGUUCUGAGGUUAUCAGUUGCAAAGAAGGGUAAUGUAACAUGUAUUCAACUUGCAAAUUGUGCAGGAAUUGUCAGCUUGCAUUUGGAAAGAGUACAUUUCUAUACGGAGACAGCAAAUAAAUGACGAUACAGUGCAAUAGGUUUAGCUGGCAUGAAUCUGAAAUGACCACACUGAGCACUGAAGCCAACAAAAUCUUUGUAGUACAAAAUCAUGUGUUCUGAACGUGCCAUGUACUUACAGAAAAACUAUUCCUGGAAUGUUUCUAGAGAGUUUUAUAUGUUUAUUUGGUACUUACUUUUCUUCUACCUCGCUCCAAAAGCCAGGUGCUUUAAUCACAAUGAAAUUGCCCUGGUCACAGAGAAAUAGAGCUGGAAAAUAAUGCAACUACAGAAAUUCUUAAAGGUAACCUAAAAUAGCAUUUUUAUAUGUAACUGAAGAAAACAUCCGAACUUAAAAUUGUUAUUACCUCAAGUGUUCAAUACUGAAUUUGUUACCAAAAAUGCUUUACUGAAAAGCUAUUUCCAUUCCAGAAAAGUUUGGCUUGUUGCCAGGAAAGUCUUAAAGAUACUGGAUCUUAAAUUUGUCACGGUCCCAGUGUCCAUCCCGUGUGCCACCCAUGUCCUCUGAAGAGAGCAUGUUUCAGCUCCCAAUCUAAUAAAUAGUGACGAAGAACUGUUUUAGAAGGAAAGAAAAAUCUAGGAUUCCUUGAAACAAAACAAGCUGCUUAACUGAUGCUAGAGUAAGGGAUGUGAAGAGUUAUUUUGUAAGCUCUUUAUCCCAUCUUCUGUUCAACUGUCUUUAAAAUUAUUUUGUACGUAGGCAGCCCCAGUGACCUUCCCAUUGUGAAGUCAUGUUUGAGCUUCUAUUACUUUUUAUUUUAGGAUCUCAGAAUGCUAUAGGCAUGUGUAUUUUAAAGGCUCACACCUAGGAUGGCUACGCGUAAGAGUUCUACUAAGUGCAGAACUACGUGCAGUGGGCAGGUGCUGUGCUCUGUUUGCACUCUGCCUGGAACAGCGAGGCCUUGGCUGCUGUCUGUGGGCCAUUGCUUGAUGCUAAACAACAAUUGCAAGAGCAAUGUGACAGUGUUUCUGCCUGAGUGAGCGAUAGCAGUUAUUUAGUGACCGUGAACUUAGCAACCGAAGAACUGCGUUUAUUUCGCAGUCUUUAGAGAGUGUCUGAUCCAAAGAUAAUCAUGUGCAAAGUGUCAGAAUGUCCCGGAUGAACCAGAGCAGGCCCCUGUUAGCACAAACGUGAGGCUGGCUGUGGUGCUGCUGGGCAGGCACAAAUGGAGUGAGGUGCUGGGAGAAGGCAGCAUGCUGCACGGUGUACCAACUGCACCUUCACUGUGGGGCACCCAGGCUUCACUGGAGGGCAGUGCAGGCCUAACCUGCGAUGGCCGUUGUGAUUUUGGAGUUACUUUGCAGGGACCACUUUAAAAUGUUGGAAGAGGUCCCCCCCACCCCCUUCGUACUCAAUUUAAUUGGAAUUAUGGUGCCCAUCAAAAAGUAUUACUGCAAGGUGACCUGGAAAUAAUCAUUUCCUUUCAUCUAUAGCAAACAUUUGUAGGUCGUUAAAAUGUCACAAAUAAAUAAAGUCUUAUUCACAAAGAAAUGGCUUCAUGUGAUUCCAGUAAAAUAUGAGAUUUCAUUAUAUACAAAAAGGCUAUGUGUUGUAUUCCUGGUUCACAAAGCAAACGUCCAACACAUGUGGAAUGCACAGCAGGAUGUAGGACCCUCUAAGGGUUGUAUACAGAUAUAUGAAGGGGAAGAGGGGAAGAAAAACACUUGUGGGUCUGAGGAAACGACCCCUUCAGUAACAAAUGGAGCAUGUGCUCUGGGUCUCUGGGAGGAUUUGUGUGGGGAUCUUGCUCUCCAUGUGCGUGCAUUCCUCUGAAGCAGACAGGUGUUAAAGUGAAAUGGUGCCCAGAGGACGCAGCACCCUCCUGCUAUCAGCAGCCUGACCACAUGACAGAUCCGAGAGCAGCCAAGCACAACUGCCGUGGAGCUUGCCAAGGGGUUAGAUGCUGAAUACUGAGUGAGGUAUCUGUGCCAGCUUGGCACCUCUGGGCCAUGUGGCUGCUGCCAGUGUGGGGUUGUCAUUGUAACAUACUGGGGAGAGUGGAACCUGAAGCUGUCCUCUCAGUUCCUGCCGAGAGAAGGUAACUUAUUGUUGUGAAUAUAAAAUAUUAAUUACCUUACAAGUAUGCUUGGGAGGCUGUGCAUGGCUCUGGCAUCUCUCCAGACAUGCUGUGGUGAAAUCAGAGGAUUGCCUCCUGGCACUGGAGUCUGUUUUGCACCCCCCCCCCCCUCUCCCCCCAGCAUCACGCUGGAAAUGAGUAAGAGGAACUGUUUGGAAACAAUUGACAUCUGGGGAAAGAUGUUCAUUGGCUUCUGGGAUUUAGACCAGUCCCUGAGCUGGGUGCGUUAGGAGUGAACUUAACCAAUGCUGUAAUCUUUUGGCACCUGUUGCAGUUUUUUUGGCAGUGGCAUAGGACUGCUUUGAUUGCACUAUGACCGGAGUAGUGAGCAUAUGUCUGAUGCCCACCCCAGAAAGAGCAGCUUAGUGCCCUUAGUGCUUUACCCAUUGUUUUUCUUCCACUUUCUUAUUUGUCAAGCUGCUGUUAGUAAUCAUUGUUACAUGCAGACAAGCAUCUAUCAGAAUCUCCAAAGCUAACAAAUGAAGGACAAAGAAAGAGGAGAACAGGAAUUUGCAGAACUCUGUGUUGUCAGAGACCAGCUGCUUUUUGCAUUUGAUUUGGAAUUGUUUAUCUGGCCCUCAGUUUUAAGGAGUGUGGUAAACAGAGGACUCCAGGCAAAACGAUACGUCCUAGUGUCUGAGAUGUAAUCAGGAGAUGAGUAUUUGGGUUUAUAAAUAUGUUAAGCAAAACAACCAAAUAUGUAUCUUCAAGAAGAGAAUUCAGCGGACCCAUUAAAGGAAGUCUCUGCCUACAUGUCUCCGCACUGAUUGUACAUCUGUAAAUGGCCGCCGUCCAGCAAAGCUCUUAAGUGCAUGCUUAACUCUCAGCAUGGCUUGGCUACAGCAGUGUUGCUAACUUUGGCAUGUGAGCUUUUAUGCAUUUGGGGCAUCCACAUGCCUAGUGCUAAGCACAUGCUUAUGUGCCCUUCUGGAAACUAACUCCUCCUUGUGCCCUGGAGCAUGAGUCCAGUUUCCACCUCAGUUUCCUGCUCCUAGAGAGGGUAUUGAGGAAUAGGGCUGCAUAUCCAUAUGGACAUCACUGAAAUGCAGAGGUACAGGCCCCUGAUGCUUGCUGAUGCUGCAUGUAUUUUACCUUUCCUGGUGCCUUAGAAUCAAUGCAUGGACUCCAAGGGAUCUCUAGAACAUAGCAUAAGGUCUUCUAAUCAAAAUGUGUUGGUUUUCUGAAGGAGACUGUGAGCCCCUGCAGUCACCAGGGCUGUUCAUUAAACUCUGAUGGACAGACAUCGUUCCUAUAGACUGGAUUAGUAGAUUGAGAAGAUAUAGUGAGGUUGUCCAUAAAGGUUCCCAUUGCUGUAAAUCAGUGCAUCUUAAACACAAUUCCUGUACAGUCUGUACAGAACUCAGCAUUUAGUAGAAAAGGAUUCCUCGGUUAACCCUUGUGGCAGAACCAGUGUGGAAAUGGCACACAGUCCAUAUUGCACUGCAGCUUUGUGUGUCUGGACUGAUGGGCAGUCUGAGAGGUGCGCGUGUUGAAAUUUAUCAUAGCAUUUGCUGCCUUGUUAAAAGCUAGUCUUGAGAGGUGAGGUUAUCAGAUUAGAAGCAGAAGUCCUCAAAUGCUUAUUGCAGCUUCUGGAGUUACAACUCAGCUUUGCUAAUCUAGAAAGGUGAUGGAAGAUCCUAUGCUUCUUGUCUACUUGUAGACUGCAGAUGAGAAGAAUAUCAACAAAGGCUGCCCAAAUGCUAGAUCUCCUAAAUGUUGAACAAUGAAAAAUUAAUUGAAUGUAUUGCAGUAGUCACUGUUCAUAGAGCUCAUUGGGUACCUCUGUGUUUUAGAUUCUGUUUUAAAAAAAAAAAAAAAAGGGGGCAAAAUAAAAAAAAUUCCAUCAGAAACAAACAACUGCUUUCAUAAGUAAAGUCCAAGCAAGCAAUUCCAGCAAACUAUUCUAGUGUGCACAGUUCAGAGUCUGCUUGGAUAUUUUAUGAUCUACCAUCUGCAGCAGAAAAUUGCUGAAUGAGUAAUAGCAGGUUGAUGGUUGUUGGUUUUUUUUUACCUUUACUGAAGCCUGUUUGUGCUACAGUCAGCUUUGGUAUUUGUAGUCAUCUAUUUUAUGUAAGUUAAUUUUUGGACUUCAUGAAAAACCUAAAUGGGAGAAAAACAUCCUGUUGUGAGGCGGUUCUUAUCUGCUGCAUUGGAAGAAUUAAAAAUGGCUUUCUGAACAGUCCAAAGGAGUUCAUUUGAGGGCUAAAACCCAAAUACAAGUUUGAAAAGCACUUUAAAAUAUCUUUGUCUAGCUUUCUGCCUCUGGAGGAGGAAAAGAGAAAUUUAGCAAGCACCACAUGUUACAGAUGCUGCUCAAGAUGCUCAACACAUUACUUAAAGCUGUUCUGUAACCAUUAUGUUGUGAGUAAUAAAAGGAUGUGAAUGGGAUGGAAAAGGGAGAAUCCAGGUUUGCUGUAACCACAUCUGUAGCCUCACCAUUCACAUGUAGUAACGGGGUCAACUCACUUCUGCCAGUUCCUGCAGUAUUACUCAACGUACCUCUGCAGCACAAAGUGAUACCAGAUCAGGGUUACCUCUGAGUGAGCUGGCAUGUCUGCAGUAGGUAACCACACAGGGAUACCAGCUUCGGUGCCGGAAACAGUGAAGCUCUAUUACUGCCAUACGUAGUCAAUUAGCUCGGAUGUCACUGUGAGCAAAUAUUGCUAUAUUGCUGCUGGAUCUGCUGCUACGUUAAUUGACGCUGGCUUGGGGAUCUUUGCCCGAAUGUGCAGCGCAGACAUACCCAGGAAUGUGCUCCUAUUGUUGACUGAAUACUGUAUUUUCUCAUAAAUGUGGCAGGAGUAUAAUUGCAGGGUGGAAAAAGAAGGGCAAUAUACAUUCACUUCACUUUAGAAACUAAAUUAAACCUUUGACUUAACUCACUUCUAUACCAGCUCCCUGCAGGCAUUUCUACAGGCUUCAUUAGAGCCAACCUCGAGGCCAUGGAAAAGGUCUUACAAAAGCCCAGCUAGGAAGCCAGUCACAGCCCCAGAUCCCGCUGCUGCACAGCACAAUCCGCCUCUUGGCUCCUCGGGCCUGCAGCUGCCAGGCACUCUCCUUAUGUGGUCACUGGUGUUGGCUCACAGGCUGCAGCAGAUAGAAGAGGAGGGCUGAGGGGGAACACAUUCAUCACUGCCAGCGAGAGUGGGGGCAGUGCCAAGUCGCUAUGUAACUAAGCACAUGUGCCAAUUUGCUCGGUAAUUGGAUUGCUAUUUGAAAAAUUAAAGCGGUGUCUAGAAAAUUCGAACCUUCGCAUUUACACAGUAUGAAGCUCGCAGCUGAGGGCCUGCACAGGAAGAGUAAAGGUGACCAGACGUAGGUGUUUAGGAGAGUGGGCGUAGGAAGCGAUGUGAUUACUUUCAGAAGUGUUCCCCCAGCCUCACAAGCAGCCGCUCUGCAGAGAGACAAAGAGCAAGGCACAGCGCAGGGGAAAGCUGUAACGUUAUGGACAAGCUGUAACCCAUUGCUUACUAAGGAAAAUUAGCACGGGCUCGUCAGCUGAAAGCAAUUCGUGUAAAGAAAACAUAUCAUUAGAGGGAAGGGCUUGAUGUUGCUGUAAAUUUUUUUUUUUUUGCUGAAGAGGGGAAAAAAGCUGCUAAUGGCCAUUACAGUAUUUUCUUCCAAGCCUGCAAAUCUGUUACUUCUCUGUCUGCUAUUAUAUAUAUUAUUCUGAGAUGCCUUUGCUGAGCAAAUCCUAUGUAGUAAUGUCAAAACUUAAUUAUUUUGAAUUAUCCGGCUACAGAAUUUCUCCUUAAAGGUACACUUGUGACACAGAGCUGUUUCUGCUCCCCCUGAAAUCAAGUUCAGACCUCACUUUGACUUCAGCAGAAGCCCAAUUAUAUCCAAAAAUAUAGUUACCUAAAUAGCCCUUCAGGCAUUUCGCUAUUCUUUGCAGUUGAGCUCUCUGGCCACCCCUUAUUCAGCUAAAAAUUUUAAGCGUGUGGAUACAAUGGGUUAUAAAUUGUUCCUAAGGUAAUAUUUGUAGUUUAAAGUAUAAUCCGGUUGCUUGUAGACAUAUAUAAGCAGUGCCUGUGUUCUUCAUCACUGCUCAGCGGAAACUCAAGCUGGAAGCCUUGUAUUUAAAAUAAUAGAAAGUAGAAAUCGAUGGGCUUGUCCCAAAGAAGAACUAUUUGGAACCUCUGUGAAAUGUCUGAUUAUUUCUCAUGUGCUUAGUCCUGGUAGAAUGAGGUUAACACAUGUCAAAGUGGAGGCUCAGGAAAUUUUGGGUCACAUUUCUGCCCCUAGAUGGAGUCUUCUGCACACUGGUAUUUUUGAUAUUUGGGGAGAAUGGAGCUGUGUGUUGGAAGCCUUGAAAUGCCUCUUGUUCUGAAUUCCCUUUACAGUGUAUCAAGUGCUGCCCAUUGGGACGAGGGUAACUGGGACCCAGAAGACCAUUUAGAAGAGGAAAAAUCAAAAUAGGGUUUGUUUGUAGAAUUGUUCAGAUACUGUAAGAGACACCACAAUUUCUUAGUGUCUCUUGUUUGUUGGUUAGCGAUAGAUACCUGUGUAGUAAGGCAAAAAGUCUAUUUUAUAAAGCGAUGCUCAUUACUAUGAAAUGUCUGAUAUUUGCAGCUCGCAGUGCUUAGCAUUUCUGUGACUUUUGUGGUAUUCCCUUCUCUUAGUGUCCUGUGAAUGCCAUGGUAACGUUAACGACUUGUAAAACAUUUUAAUAGUGACCACUGUAAUAUAGUGGUUGUGUGCAAACAGCAUGCGCCAUUGCUUCAGAGGUGUUUGUAACAUUUUGUUUUUGUCACAAUCAGAGCAAAACGUUGCCAGAUCUCGAGAACCAAAUCCUAAACUUGCCAAACACGAAGCUGAAAGUGAGUUCUCUUCUGCAGCUUCUGCCUUUGAUCAUCUGCAGUUUCAUUGAUACAUUCCUACCCAGCACUCACGAGCUUAGUGAACCAUGGCUCUAGCAAGCACAGUUGCUUGGGAAAAGCAUUUGGCUGCAGACGCCGUGUUGGAGGGGGGAGGUGGGUGUUUUCCGAAGCCAGCUUUGGAAAAAUCUGUGUUGUUUUAUGUGUGAGAGAGAGCUCAGCUGCGGGCUCGCGGCUCAGGUAUGUUUGCAGGCGGCUUCUGGUUCCGCCUCUGCAACAGGAGGGACCAGCUGCAGGGUUUGUCCUUGGGCUGGGAGCUGGAUUCCUGCAGAAUCCAGGAUUUUGCUUUGGACCUUUUUAAAUGUGAUGUAAAUGCCAGCAGCUUCCUAACAACUGUUCGCGGAGCUCGGAGCAGAAUUUACAGUGGACUCUUGUGAGUGAGAAGAGAAAGGAAAAGCUCAACAAAACCUCUGUCAUCUGAGCAGAGUCCUGAGAAAUGCUUUCCAGCUUUCAAAGAAAGAAAGGGUCUUAAUUCAGAUUUGCCGGAAUUGUCUAAUUAGUUCCUUUAAUGCCAUGCACCUUAUAGUCUGUGCCGCCAGCUUCGUCCUAUAAAUGAGACGAUGGGCUAAUUCAUCUUGGCAGCAGUAAACAGACCUUGUGAUUGUCCUCCCCACAAACACCGGCCUGCUUUUAGGAGAGUGCUUUGACCAAGCCCGCGUCCUCGCUCCCUCUGCUGUGCCCCCCUAUUCCGAGCGCUGCCUCUGCUCCGCACUCUCCUUCCCCACCGACCCACCCCACCCCGUCUCGCACACAGUGACAUACCUCACACAUUUGCCACUGCUAACAACAACCUGUCAACUCUUUCUUUGCACCGUGCUAGGCGCCCUUUGUUUCUGCAGCCCAGCAAGCCUUGCAGCUGUUGUCCGAGGCCUGCUCCGACAGCCUGUGAUCAGUCAGCUGCAAAAUCCUCCCUGAACAACUCGGUAUUCACAGCUCUAAUCGGGCCAGCGGACUGUUUCCUCCUCUCUCGCAGUAAAUCUUUAUCACUUGCGCUCUGCUCGUCAGUUCGUGGCGCCAGCUCUUUGGGCAGCUCGAUCCCUUUCCCAUACUCUGCUGCGCUGUGUGCUCUGAAUGCUAACUCCGGCCUCGUUUAGGCUCGGUGCUGCGGUCCACAUGUGGGGAAUGUCGAAUUCCUUCUCCUUUCCCAUCUUCUAAGCUGCAUGUACCGCAAGUUUAUCUCUCUUCAAACACAAAGAUACCCAAAGGCUCCCUCCUUCUGCCUAUUUCAUAUUGUAUCCUUAGAGGUUAAUUAUGCAAUUAUCUUUCCAGCAGCCUGUUGUGCUUCUGUAUAAGAGCGGCCUUUGGUAGGAAGAGCAGGGUGAGUGCCCAGCCCGAGGGAGCUGGUGGUGGCAAGGGAAGCCCUGGGGAAACUGGCACAGGCUUUAAUUUGAUCGCAUGCCCAGGGCUAUUAACCUUCCUCUUAAUGGUUCCCCCAUGGACGGAAACACAUUUCCUUCCAUCCUGUCCCUCAGUUGAUGCCAUCUCAGUCUUUUAAAAGAUUUACAUCUAAGAUGUUGAAUUGUGAAGCAGGUUUUUAGAAAACAGAUCAAAGUUUACUUCCUUGGUAUCCCAGCUGAGUGGAGGGGAGUCCGUGCUGCUUUUAGGAUGAGGUUUGUGCCAGUGUGGGGCUGCUGAAGAUUUAUUCUUGUGGAGCUGAAAGCACAACUCUGUGUCCAUUGCUACUUCUGCUACAGCAUGACAGCUCCUCCUGCCUCUUUUGGCAAAAUGCUGUGGAGUUUUGUUUUCCCCUGAGUUGUGCUUGGGCCUGGGGUCUGAGAUGACCAAAAGUGUAAUUAAAGCUCAGUUAAAGAACAAGUUUCAAAGAGAUUCAUCUAGCUUUCAAGUACGACAUGCUCAAGGUUACUUUUAAAAACAAAUUAUUUGGGACAGUGAGGGUUAUUUGUGUUUGUAAGGAGCCUGCGAAGAAUUUGCACAAACACUGCUCUGAGGACCAGAACUACUGUUUUUUAAUCUUGUCUCUUAAUCUGUUUCCACCACUGGAAAAUCCAUUUCUCUUCCUGCUUCAGCUUCCCCUACUUUCAAAACCUUCUGUUUCGGCCCCUCCAGGUGUGUGGAUGCAUGCAGGGGUGAAGAUUAUCCAGAUACAGAAAUACUUCUUUAAGAGUAAAACUUGAAUUUGGAAAUUUGUUGUUGCCAUUAAUUUUAUAAGGCGGCUGUGAAAUAGAUGCUGCUUGGAAAAUCCAAGUUCAUUUCCACUUAGACUUUCUACUCCUUGGUUCCUCAUCCAGUAUAGUGGAAGGUGGAUUUGUUUGAUCAAAAAUAAACUCAUCUAUGUAGGAUUCUUUGAAAAAAAAUUUCCAUGAAGCAUAAAUUUGCUGUCCAUUACAGUCAAUUGGACAUGUAGAGGAGCAUUGCAAUUAGACAGUAUUAAGCAGGUAUGUCCAGUAAAAUGCAAGCAAUGUGUGGCAUAGCUUAGUUACCGAGCUAAACAUUUGGGUCUGACAGCCUUGGCAUGUGCCUGUCUCCCAUGUGUUUGUUGCUGUCUGCACUCAUAUUCACUUUCUGGCCAUGAUGGUCAUGGUUGGUGCACCCUACUUAAAUUACUCCUGUGUACAUCUCUAGAUGGGAUGUUCUGCUACUAUGUAACUAGAUGUAUAAACACAUUUUAGACUUAAUUUAGGGGAAUAUCUCCAAUCUUGCCGGUAUGUGCUGCAGAAACCCUUUUGUUUCUCAGUGCGUUCUUCAGUGAAGUUGAAUGUUCAUAAACAGCUUCUGAAUACUAGCUUUUUUUCUGUAGGCUGUCUACAAGGAAAGCAGGUGAAGUAUGACAUUGAAUAGUAUGGCACGUUGAGCUGUUUGUUGGGGGAAGCUUCACUGUUCAAAGUGCUCUUGUGAUCAGAGUCAGUUUGGUGGGACAGCAGAUAGAGAACACAGCAUCUUGACAAGUCCUAGGCAAACAUCUUAGAUAACCCUUUCUCUUUCUCUGAUUUUGCUCACAAUACUCUUCUCAGCUCCUUCCUCCAUGUCCCAGGGUGUUACCUGCCAUCCUUUGGUGACACUAGCUGUCCACAGGGUCCCAGAGGUUGCCACAAGGCUGGUGCUGUAGCUGAGUUCAUAGUUUGGCUCACAUGGCUCUUGUCAUAAGUGAUGGAGUGAGACAUUGCAUGUAGUCAACCACCCAUGCUUCUUCCAGACUUGUAGUCUUGUCUAUCCUGUGAGUCUUGUUGGACUGUUUUUUCUUGCAGUUUUGAUGACUAUGAACUUUGGAGGAAACACAGGUUAUGUUCCCUGACCCCCACUAUGUAAAAAUGUAAUAGUAAGUUCAGUCCCUUUUUACCUUAUUAUUUUUUUUUGAUCAAAUAGUAAGCUACAGGACAUAGAUAUUUCAUGAUGUGAUGUCUUGUAUUUUAUGAAACAGUAGCUCUUCACCAUGCCUGGGGUAAGAAAAUCCAUCCUGUGUCCUCUGUACAAAAACCAGUGGAUUUUGAAGGGCUCCUCAAGAACAUCCUUUCCAUAGCUUGUUGGCACUGUCCAUGCGUGGCUGUUCUCCUGUACGUCUAAUGAUGUUUCUGCCCCAAAGUGAGGUUCUGCUGAAGGAUGCAGCUGCAGACUUGAUAUGUUUUUCUGUUGGCUGUUGCUGGAGGAGGACUUGUUUGUGGCUGUAGGAUGAGCAGAGUCAGAGAACAGCUUUUCCAGUUCACUAGUCCAAAUUGCAAAAGGACUUGCCUUUCCUAACGUGAAUAUCUGCAGGAGCAGGAUAUUUUAUUGCUCGGUUGUUCUGUUUUUAAGGAGCAAUGUCAACACUUUUCCAGCUCCUCAAGUAUUUGACUUUAGAAAAUUUCAGACCUCAGCAACAUUCUUUUUGAAUUUUUUUCCUAAUUUGCUGAUAAUAUGCUUACUCUGUAAUUCCAUUUUAAAAAAGUCUUUUAGUCUAGGAAUUUCCUUGUCUGAUUUACCUCAGACUUUCCAGAAAUAUUCUACCUUGGCAUGAAGUUUGCACCUGUGGAAGUUCAGGGAAAUUGGUUUAGGUUUUGCUAAAUGAGGAAGGGCUUCUGCCAAAAUCGGGUUUAUAAUGAAAGGCUGGUUUAAAUAUGGACAGACGAUGCUCUUCAUAAUUAUUAGGUAACAUUAAUGUAUAAUCAGGCCCGUAAAGGGAAAAAAAAAAAAGUGGACUUUAUCAUGCCUAUGAAAAUGAAUUUUUGUUUCUUCUUUGGCAACUCAGGGGAGAAUGUAUGCUACUAACCCAUCUUGUUUAAUUUUGUGAGCUGCCACUUGUGUGCAAAUUUCCUGUACAUCUUAAAAACAUGUAAAAGAUGAACAAAGAAGGAGGAGGAAGAUUAUAAAUGGAUCCAUGUGACUGCCUCUUCUCCAGGCAUUUUUUCCCCUCGCUUAAGAUGUUUGGAGGGAACGCAGGGCCAUGCAGUGUUUGUUAAAGCUGAUGGAAUAUCUUCCUCCCUCGGGGUAUUUCUUUAAUCAAUGUUUCUUUAUAGCAUUAGGUCAUCUCCUCUUUUUUAAUUUUUUUUUUUCUGAAGAAUCCUUGUUUUGUAUGUUUUCAUGCAUUCUGACGUUUAUUCUCAGAAUUAUGGCCUGAUCACUUCCUGUCCUUUUCCUCAAAAUUUCUCUCGUUUUAUCUAUUUUAAGUGCUGAAGCACAAAGAUAACCCCAUCAUAGUUCUCUCAUUUUCCCCAGUGCUUCCCCCCCCCCUUCCCUCCCCGCAAUGAAAAAUGAAAGGUCUCAUGGUCUUACAGAUUUUCUUUAUGCUUAUUUUGGCCUAUUUGCAACCCAAAUACAUCACUAUAAGACGGCUCUCUAAGGCUCUUGGAUCAAUUAAAGGUAGCCCUAUUCAUUGCCAGUACAAACCUUUGCCUAUUAACUCUUUCAAAGGGCAUUUGUCAUCGCAAAAAGCUGUGAAUGCCGUCUGGGUUCAUUGAUUAAAAAAAGGUAUUGUUUUAAGGCUGCUGAAUAUCUUAAUUAGUUGUAAUCAGAGGGUAGCUUGUGUCUGUAAAGUGAUACAGUUACCUUUCACCUACUUGCUUUAUUCUGCAUGUUUUAAAAGAAAAAUAUCUCAUGUAAUUCAAGCAGAGUGUUCAUAGGGUAGAAGAGAGGAGUGCCCUUGCCGAUCAAAGCAUAAUUUAUGACAUUAUUUCAUAAAGCCAAAUAGUUAAUGUGCUAACUUGGAGAAUGUCUCGUUGGCCUACGACCAGCCAUGAGAGGGCGAGCAGAGCGAUGUUGCUCGUUGCCAGCUAUCAUCCUCCUUUCUUCACUCAGAAAUCCAGCGUCUGUAUUCUGGAAGUGUAGAAAUCCACCCCAAUUCUGCAAGCACCCGCACGUGUGCUUAGCUAGAGCGCAUGAAUAGUUCAUUAAUACGGAGUAUGUAUGGUGCUGUUUGCCAGACCAAGGUAGAACAGGGGAACAUUUUUUAGACCACUGGUUCGUUUGCUGCAAUUGUGGUCUCAAACGGUUUGCAGCCAUUUGUGAAUUUGUACUAAAACCGGGAAAUUAUUUAAGCUGGGAAAAUGUCUUUUCUGCUGUCCUCUGAAUCAAAACAUUUCUUUCAGUGGUUAAUAAUAAAAGUCUGUUUCCUAUUUGAAGAGACUCUUCUGAAAAUUAUAAUCCACACUUUUCCUUGGGCUUUAUGAAAAGCUUUGCUUGUGCUUGAUGCUGUUUUGGUUUAUUUUUCUGAGAAAAUAGUUUGUAUUUCCCCUAAAAUAUUUCACUCAGAGCAAAUGGUUAUUUACGUGCCUCUGAUGGAGAGACUGGGCUGUAAAGAGAUUCCUUCCAGUCACAGGUCUCAGUGAUGCACCAGUAACUUGCAUAGGUUGGCCUUUACCCUCUGGUGAUGCACUUCCAGAGAUGAUGAUUUAGGGAUAUAUGCUUUUCUUUCCAUAAUUGUGUAAAUAUCUUCUUACAGGGAGGAAAAAUGCACCUGACAGAAAAUCUUAAGUCAUGACUGGUAGAAAUAUUUGCUUUUGCUCUUUAGUAAGAUACUGGAUCGGAUAAUAGUCAGACUAGAUGGUCUUAGUGGUCUUUUCCAAACUCAGUGAUUCUAUGAGUAGAUGACAAUUUAUUUUGGGAAAGGGGGCACAAAUGGUGUCUUAUGGGGAGACUCCAUUAUCUGGGAGAAAAAGUCUUUAGAGUUAACCAGCAGGUUAACCAUGUACACUGAGUUGCUGGUACCAUUUGGUCAUCUGGGAAGCAGGGCAAUGCAAUACCUGGGAACUGCUGGACAUGCGAAUCCUUAACACCUGCUCUUGGCUUACAGUUUGGUAGAUUUUAUUGUAAAAAAUGCAUGCAUGCUUGCACAUGGAUUCUCAAGGCAAUGUGGCAAAGUUGCGUAAAUGCUAGCACUGCUAUAUCCGAUCUCUUAUUUUUCAGUGAAUAAGUGUACUGUGUAAUGCUUCCCUCACAGGACAACUUUUCUGUAGUUGCCUAAGUUCAUCUUGCAGUACUUUUUGUGAAGUACUUGGAGUACUUCAUGUCCUUUUAAAUAUUUUUUUCAAAAUAAAAAUACUUCAGAAGGACUAGUUCCAAUUUCAGUUGACUGUACAAUCAUCUCUGUUUCAUAGAUAUGGAAGAACAGCCUGAUAAAGGUUAAAAUCCUUAUUCAAGAAAAUGCAAAAAUUUAAGCACGUGUGUUAAUGUUCCUGUGAUUUUGGCGUAAACUAUUCUGAAAAGUUUUCCUGGGAUGCUGUCAGAGGCAAAAAUAGAAUAUGCACUGGAGUUGCAGACAGUGCCUCAGUCGCAGUAUAUGUGAACAUUAGAAAUUUUCUUUCAUACUUAGUAAUAAAUGUGAGGCAUGACAUGGUCGUUUGGAGGGGGAUUUAUUUUAAUAGUUGGUUUUUUAAUUCAACGAUUUAUAUGCUACAAAAAGAUAAUUUUGGUGUGAGGAUCAGUGCUGUUCUAAGCUUUUUCUUCAGCUUUUUAUGUUUGCACAGAAUUGUGCAGAACCUUUUCUUUGAUCAAGUGCCUCGGAAAUAAGUUUGAAGAAACAAAACCGCCCAUUUCUACUGUAACUCUGAUGUGCAUAUGAAUUAAUAUAUAAUAGUAUUGUAUGUCUUUCUCUAUAGAACAUUUUUAGGUGUCUGUAGAACUAGGAGAUGAUUUAUGAAGUGUGACUCAUUUUUCCUUCUUCACACUGUUCCACUGGAAGAACUCGGACUGCGAUGAGAAAAACUAGUACACGUUAUUAAGAAUUCCGAUAAAGUAGGCUGAAUAAAUUUGUUUUCUUUGUGAGCCUUAAUCCUGUGUUGUAUUGGCUUCUUGGACAUGGCUAAUUUAUUUGGAAUUCCAUUCUGUUCCCGACAGCAUUCCUGAUUAGCAGUUUGAUCACCCGGAGCAAAGUUACAUACCAGCUUUCAACUCUUGUAAUCUAGCAGUGUAAUUUUUUCAAAUGGACUCUUUUCUUUCCUUCUUUGCCCUAGCUCCCUUUCUUUAUAUGCGCAAAAGAGACUUUAAAAGUAAGCAGGAUAACCUGUUAGUAGAUUGAAAAAUUUGUACAAAACAAUACAGUUUGCUGAAUGCCCAACUUGUGUCUGGCUACAAAGCAUCUGAUGUAAAGUUCAGAUGGGAAUAUAGAAACUUCCAAGAUCAGCUGGAUCAGUGAGUGCUUAUUGUGAGUUCAGUAUUUUGUAGCUAUCAAAAUGCGAUUUAAGAAAGCAGACGUUUAAGGAGAGAAAGCCAGAACAUAAAGUUCAAGCCCCGCAGUCCCACGUCAUUUUUUGAUUUAGUGUGAUGAUGGUAGGCCUGAUAAUUUUCUAUUGCUCACAGGGCUUCAAACAAUCAUAGAAAUUUUUUCUUAAAGUUCAGCAUGUGUUUAAUAUGGACCUAGUUGAAUGCAGCCAUAUUUUUGAUCAUGUUUUUAAAGUUUUCAAGGCUCUGUUAAUUUCCAGUUGAAGCUACAUAAGAAAUAUUUUAGCUAUACCUUUCAAAUAACGUACUUUGAUUUUUUUUUUAAGCAGAAAAGUAAGAUUUGGAGCUACGUCAGUCCAGUUCCAAUAUGCAAAAUAUUUUCUAUCAUCACUUGGAUAGAUAUUUUUCAAUGAUUGCAUUUUUUGAGUAUUGUAAUAUCUUCAAGUCCUUUCCAUAAUCUGUAGUUUUGUCAAAGCAUAUUCUGCAUGUGCUAGGUUUUAGAAACUUGUAUGUUUAAUGGCUAAGUUUGUGACAUGCUAGACCUUGUAUGGAAACUGCAGUUGCAUCGUUGUUCACUUCUGUUGGUGUUGUCUUAUGCUGUCAAAAUGAAUGAUGACUGGGAAACCCCAAUUUAAUAGUAAAUCAGAGCAAGGUUUUGAUCUGAUUUCUCUUUGGUGGUGCACAGGAGGAGCAUCCUCAGAGUGAAAUGUAGAAAUGCUGCAUUUAGCAGCCCCCUCUGCAAGUGUACGGUGUGCUGAAGACACAUAGUUGAAGGUGAAAGGGAACUGGAUUUUCUAAUCUGUGACAUUUCUUAAGGUCCCGAUCCGGUUUUGUGCUCAGUGAGGAGAAAGAGAGGUUUUUAAAUCACAAGAAACUUGGGAAUAACCCAGGGAGAGGUGUCCAUGGCACUGAUCAAGAGACUCAAAAUAGUGGUUUUACAUAUGAAUGAUUUGACUGUCUACUUACAAAAGCUUGAUCUGUCUUUCUGCUUUCUUCUGAUCUUAAAUUUCAUGGAUCUGAAAGACAUCUCCUGACAAUUUUUUUUAUCAAAGCUGGAGCGUGUUUUACCAGACUUUCUACUUUUCAAGAGCUGGCAGUUUGAUUGAAAUAGUUAAAUCAAAAAUAAUAAAAAUAAAAAUAGUUAAAUUACACAGAAUCACAGACUGUGACUGGGAGGGACCUCAAAAAUCAUCUAGUCCAAUCUACCUGCUGGAGCAGGAAGAAAUUGUCUAAUGGACUGCUGCAAUAGCAUGAAUUCAGUGGGAAAAAAAAAUCCACGGAAGGAGAACUGAGGAAGGAUGGUUUAGGUCUAGAUCCAUUCUAUGCAAAUGCAUUCAGUGAAAAUUCCUUAAUUUCACCAGGAAAAAGUCCAGAGGAUCUUUCCAAGCAAUAAAACUGCACAACUAACCAAGUGUGAAGACAUAGCAAGUUGUGUGGGAUCUCUUGCAAGUGAAGAAGAAAUGGAUAUAACUGAUCGAUAAUAAGCUAUUUUAAUGUUUGUAAUACAAAUUCAAAAUAUUUGUGAGGAUUUCAUCCUGUGAAUGACUAAACAUUUUUGUAUUUUUAUACUUGUUCAUCGGGAGGUAGUUGUUUUAGAUAUCAUUAGUAUUUUAAUUUGGUGAUAUGGUUAAAUACCAUGGCAUAUACACAAGCUAUUUUAUUACUUCUAAAUUGUGUGCUAUUUAUGCUCCUGCAGAGAAAAUUCUAUGAAGUGAAGAGAAAUAAAGUAUCUGCUACUGAGCAUUGUGUUGUACAGCAGCACACAGCAGAGAUAAUGCAUUGACAGCUUCCCAAAUGGGAAGGUCUUAUCAACUCUUCAAAAUACAGAUCUCUUUAGGUGAUCAUUUUUAAGACAGAUUUUUAUUAUUAUUUUAAAUCUUACUUGUGACUCCGAGGCCUUAAGGAUGGUGCUGAAUUUGAGUUUUACAAGCACUCAGUUUUAUGGAUGCUGAAGUUACUCAUAAGGGAGAAAAUAUGUAGUAAAUGAAAUAUUUUAUUUCUGUCCUUGUUUUUCUUGAUCAUGGAAAUGGGCAUAAUGAACUGACUGUGGUGGGAAGAGCAUGCUUGCUGGGGACUUUCCAGUAGAAAACCAGUGGGGCAGGUUUUGACUCAGUGCAACACUGAAUGAUCUUGAUAUGUGCUCAUUAUCACAAGAUAUUUCAAGCAGGAAUUGACAUUGAAUGUCCAAUUUUGUCCUCUAACACUGUGAAUACCUUGAAUUGGCUCUUUGUAAGUGGUGGUUCAUUUUCACUGUGAUGUAUAUUGCUUGUUCAGGAGAUUUCACGUAUAUAAACUGGAGCAAGGUGACUUUUUCACUCUGAUAACUGCAGCAGGCACAUGACUGAGAGGUAAGUGCUGGUCCUAAAUAUCUUUCUUUCUUUUUCUUUUUUUUUUCUUUUCUUGUUCCUUUUUCUUUUUUUCUUCUUUUAACAGUGAACUGGGAACUUCUGUUAACCACGUUGAUACUCACAAAUCUUUGCCAUUUUCCUCUGUAGAUAUACUAACUUUUGAAUGUGUGGAAAAUACAGUAAGUAACAUAUCCUAUUUUUUUUUAAAUUACAUAUAUUUUGAAAAACAUUUCAAACCGGUAAUGGUGGAUAUCAUGCAAUUAUUGUUGUAUUGUCUGCUUUAUUGCAAGUAGUUUCUCAGGGUAUAUUAAAAUUUAAAGAAUUAAAUUACAUUUUAUGAAGCAGACUGCCUAAUUUAUAAUUGGAGCUGGAAAAGUAGAGAUGAAAUCUGUUGCUUUAUAUUUUAAAAGGCAUUAUGCAUUCUUGUUGACCUUCAGAGCGAUUAAUUAUGUAAUGUUAAUUUAAUAACAAAAUGCAGAAUUUGUCUUAGAAAUAGUUUCGAGUAGAUUCAAAUUAGAGGAUUUUAAUAAAUAUAGCAGGAGAUGGUAAUAUUGUCGAUUAUGUGAUGAAAACCCAUGUUAGUAAGAAAAAACCACCCACUAGGAGUACAGUUUUGUCUUGCCCUUAUUUUCUAGGGAGAUGACUAGUUGAAAAAUGGUUUUAGAAAAUAAAGUCUGAGCAGAGAGGAUGCAUUUUGGUGAUGCAGCAUGCAUUCUUUGAAAAAGGCAAAUCAUUCAGAAUAAUGGCAUGCACUGGGAACACCUGUUAUUUGAAAAUAUGUAUUUGGAAAAAUCCAGAUAAGAAUGAUUAAUAUGUAGGCUCUGCAUAGUGCUUUUUCUCAGUGAGUCUCAAAAUACUUCACAAAGGAGAGGAGAAUAUCUAUGCAUAUUAAACGGUAUCUUCUUACGCUCACAUAUUUUUUUUUCAUCUGGCACACAGAAUCAUCUUGUCCUUGCUGCACAUUAAUUUUCUGUGUGAAGCAAUCUGUCCUAAGAAGUGAAAUCUAAGCAGAAAAAUACUUUCCUUCCAUCUCCAGCAACUGGUGCUUCCUUUGUGUGAUUGAGCACGGUGCCCACGAGGAGUGCCAAGUUGACAGCCGCAGUCCGGAGCCACAGAGCUGCCAUUGAGCAGGCUGCUGGCGUGGGAGCACGCCCAGCGUUGUGCAGAGCACAGCGUCAGGCACGAGGAUGUGCGGUUUAUCCUCUGGCUUUGACACCUCUCAGGGAAUGCAGGGGAUGGCAGGGCCGGGACACUUGUGAGCCCGGGAGGAGGCACCUGUUUGCUUGGCACUGGAGGAGCUGCCAGUUUGUAGCUGACAGAGCAAGUGAACUGUUUGUCAGACUGCUUUUCCUGCUUAAAUCCUGUACAGAUGAGAAGAAGAUUUCUCAUCAUCCGUGUUGAUGCGAGUCUCUUAAAAACAAACAGGUUAAAGAAACAGUUGUCAGGAGUGACAUAGCUGAUCUUGCUUUAGGACAAAUGGAUAGACCUCUUGGGUCCUUUUCUUCCUUUUUUCACUCCUGUAAAUAGAGGUGGCCCUAUUACCAAAUAUAUGCAUAUUCAUAUAUAUCGUAGAAUCAUAGAAUGUCCGAAGCUGGAAGGGACUCACAAGGAUCAUCAAGUCCAAACCCUCACAUGUAGACCUUCUGGAAAACUUAUUCAGGAAUAUGAAAUGGUUGCAUCUAGCAAAGUGGAAAGUAAGGCAAAAAAAAAAAAAAAAAAAAAAAAAAAAAAAAUCAAGCAUAUAUUACUGUUUGAAAUAAAACAUUUGCUGGAUACAUAACACUUGUAUGAGCUGGCACCAUAUAUGAUAUUCAUGCUUUAUAUUCAUGAGCACCCUGCAUGUUUCCUUGAUACAGAGAAGAGCAUCCAUUUUGAGGGAAUCUAGAGGGUGAAUACCAGGGAUCACUGCAAGUCCUUUGUGCUUCAAGCUUUAUUCAUGCCUUUCCCCAUAAAGCAAGCAAAUACCGGGAGGACCAUUUUGGGUUUUACUUCGAUCAGGUCUUCUGGAAGGUUGUAGACACUUGUUCUAAUUUUUCUUGCCAUAGAGGUGGUAUAUUUAUCAUUAUUUAGCUUCUCCUCAUCAUUCAGGCCCUCUGAUUUCAGGAGGUUUUAUUUGAUUGAUCCUGGUUGGCAUCAGUGAGAUCCAGGACUGGCAUGCUGGUACUGAUUGAUACAGGAGAUGGUUGAAUCCUUGCUGGCUGCAGUCACUGUUUCACUGACCCAGCUGACAAUGAUGUCGUCAUUCACCUAUAUUUAUUUUCUCCCCCUUGCUGCAUUUUCCAGCAAAAUCUUAAGUAGCUGAAGAGAGUAGUCCCUUUAAACUCUGCAUUUUUUGAGGUCUGUAGGUAUAAAAAGACACUCAUUGUUCAGUGCUCCUCCACAAAGAAUCCUUCUUAAUCCUGAUGGUGUGCAUUCAUCCCUAGGUUGAGCCUUCCUCUGCAGAAGAAUUUGAGUUGUUUCACAUUCCUUCAUAAAUGCGCAUAGGGUAAUACAACAGACUUUUUCCUUUUAAGCAAUCUGAUCAGUUCUCACACUUUCCAACUCCAUUAGAAAACCCCUGUGGUAGCUGAGAGCACCCAUUAAUGUGAACAAACUCCUGAAACUCCUUAAAGUAUUUUCUUUGCCGUGCCAUUUAACUGUUUACAAAGCCUGGAGCUUUGCUCCUGAUACACAGUCAAUAAAAGGAAACAGACUAAAAAUUGUUCCUUGUAAUGCAGAUGUAUUUGUGUUGUUCUUGUAGAAGACAAUGUGUUGAAUCUCAUGAGGUUACCCCAGUCAAGGCAAUGGUAAUGUCCGAGAGAGUAUUGAUACUUUAUAUUUUGUGAUGGGUUUGGUUUAAUGCAGAGUUUUGAAAUUCAGGGAAGCAGUCCUGUCACUAUGCUAUUGCUUGGACCUCGUCCAAGCCAUUUCUCUUACUGCUAAUCCUUCAUGCUUUUACCUUCACAACUGUACUUGUCAUAUUCCAAUUGCUGAAAUCCAGACCCAGACAAAAUACUGCUUAAACAUCUACCUAAGACCUUGUUCCCCUUCUGAACCACCUCCUAGAGCCCGUGCUUGGGCUCUAGGGGUGGGGACCUCAAGGUAUUACUGCACUUAUUCUCUUAUUUUAAAGGAAAAAGAAUGUAUAUUUUGCAGAGCUUUAAGUCUCUGAAUCAGGCUUUUAUUUCUUCUAGCUGGAAAGUAUGGUUUCUGGGGAAAAGAGCUUGCUAGCUGAGCAAGUUCAAAAAGAUCUUAGCAGUUACCCAGCAAUUACUCAUUUCAUCAAUCCUCUAUAUUUAAGGAGAUAAAAAGCCCCUCCAGUGUUGUUUCCUGCAAAGACCAUUCUUAAGAGCUCGUUGGACAGCACAGGGCUCUUGAAGUGAUAGCUAAUUGGUGAAAGAAAGGCCCCGAUUGUCUGGAGGGAGCUGGAAAGUGCUGCGUGUGCUGCUGAAAGGGACUAGGGAGAAGGUGCCUGGUUUCGCUGAGCAGCUGCUGCUGGAGAUGUUUGGAGAUUACAUCAGCAUUGGAAAAAAGGGGCAAAAAAAAAAGUCCAACUUCACAGAGACGGAGUUUAUGGAGUUUUUUUCCCCUUCCAAAGGUCUUCUGACAAUACUGUCAUUGUCAAUAUAAGAGUUGUUAAUUCUUCAUGAAUAGCACAUGGGGCCUCUUGACUAAAUGGUACGUUACAUGUCCCAAAUCUGUCAGCUGGGCUCUUCUCUCACAUGCUAGUGAGAUCACUUUGAUUGGAAUGUUACAGGAAUUGCUGGGCCGGCCGCACAGAACUGAAUGCUGCAUUAUAUAAUUAGAUCUCCCGGAGUAUUUUUUUUGCAUUACCUCAUUAUUCUAGCUUAAAUAUGGAACCAGUCGUUUUGAUGAUUUUACUGGUUGUAAUUAUAUUAAUACGAUUCAUUUUAUGGUCCUCUCUUAGUGCUUAUAUAGAUUACAAACUGUCUCGAAGGUUUCCUGACAGGAGAAAAGAGCUCUAAGGGACCUCAGGAGGCUUCUUCAGAUUUGGACUGACAGUGAGGACAACUGGAUGAGGUAAAUGGACGUAGAGCAGAUUUUACCUCGGCCUCUGAAGGGAGAGAAAUGGCCAGUUGAGACUGCAACUCAGUGAAGAUCCUUCAGAAGGCCUCAAGCUGACAGAGAGGGAAUAGAAACCACAACAACUGACUGAGUCAAAUGACUUCCUAUCAGACUGGCUCAAGAAUUUGUUGUUGGGAACAGGAUUGUGGAUGUUUGCCAGUUAAACGAUCUGGACAAGCUGGAAGGAAUCCUAUUGUUGGGCAGUCCAAGGCUGUCAGUGGCCCAGUCUUCCUACAUGAAAUGCGAUGGCCCAUUGCCUGCUGGACAAGCUGCUGGUCUGCACGUUAGGAUGUCAGCUGCACGCCCUGCCUGGAUGCAACAACUGACUGUGCCUGAACGAACACGGGGAUUACUGACCCAGCUCAGGAUCCACGUCUAAUGCUGCUGAUUUGCAGAGUGGAUUUUUACAUGACUGACUUGUUGCUAAAUUCCUCUUGUGGUUUCUCCCUGUCAGUCAGAUCAGAAGCUGGUUAUAACCUGAUGAUCGCUUUUCUUGUCAGGUGGUAUAUCUGAGUAACAGAAGUGGCUGGACACCACUGGGAUAGUCUGUUCCAUGAAAAAUAGAUCAGUGUAUUACAGUUUGUCUGACAGACACCAGCUCUGCUUCAGCAGUGCUGGAUGUGGGGGCACACGACAGUGCUUAGAGGCCUUGCAAAGUUGUUUCUCUUCUAGCCUUUAGUAAGGAGCUACCAGGACAUGGAAAGCUUUGACUACUCGCCCAAGGCAGGAGUGACUUGAGAUUUUUUGCUUAAUGCAUCUUGCAAAGUGAGACAGGGCUCCAAGUGAACUGCCUGCUUUCAGAUGGAUGUUACACUGAGUCAAACUGCAAAAAAUCUUGCUGCGUAUGCAACGCAAUUUAACAUCUGCUUUUAAGAACUUGGUCUUCCUACAGCAAAAGUAGGAAAAUUGUAUUGCUUUGCCUGAGAAAGAAAGUUGAACUGUGGUAUCGUUGGCCCAGUCCUGUCUGGUAUUUUUAAUGACAUGCUGAAGUGAAGGCUGCCACUUCAUGAACUGGCUUCUAUACCUCUUGGUAGCUUGCAUAAUGAUAUCAGAAUUCAGCCUAGGUAAAAGCCCAAAGCAUUCCCAUGAAAAGUUUUUGGCACAUUCAUGACUCCUUUAGGCUUGUUCCUUAGUAACUACUGAUCAGCCUAUAUCUCUUUGUCAUUUGAAGCCUCCUAACAUUCAGACGUGAGAUAUGGUGCGUGUUUAUACAAUGGAACAGAAUAAAUGUGAGGCCGAUUGAUUUCAGUCUCAGAUUUUAUUUGUGGUAGAUGACCAAUCUACAAAACAGUUUGCAGUGUCUGAAGAUGCAUGUCAUUGACUUGAAAUCUAGCUAGUAAAUAAAUUAAAUGUAGAUGUAACUAACUCCCUUGUCUGUCUCUAUGGGUACUAAUUUUAGCGAUGAUUCUUAUAUUUAUUUUUUUGUUCCCCAGUACCAGCGGACCACAAAGGGAAAGUGAAAUGUCUAUUUGCUGUGCAAACAUACCUCUGAUAAUAAGUAACUGGAAAAAUAGGCACAGCAAUCCAUCUUCUGUCAGUUAAACAUAGCUAUUCUUAGCUGUUGUGCAUCAUUAUGAAGAAAAUGAAACUUGUAGAGCAAUUCAUACUGCUUUUAAAAGCAAGUCUUCUAAUCCAUUCUUUUGAUUAUAUUGAAAUUAUACUUAACAUUGUCAUAUUCAUAUUAAUCAUUUAAAAAUGUGAAUGUAAUGAGACGUGGAUUAAUGUCUUUAUUAUGUGGUGAAAUUAGGAGUUGACACUAAUGUGGAACUCACAUCUUUGAUCCCUUUCUUCUCACAGAGUAGAAUCUUGAUUUUUCCAUGCAAAUCAGAGAUCAUGGUCUUGUUAUAGACCAUAGUCUUAUGCAGGCCAAAUUUUCAUUGAUUUCUGUGGCACAAUUGGUAGGAAUGGCAGAAUGGAAUCAUCAGAACGUCUUACUGUUUGAGUUGCCAUAGCCAUCUCCUUCAAUGGCUAGCUCUUGGUGAGUGGGGAAAGCAGGCCCGUACUGGGUGAACUUACUGACUGGUAGAUGUACGGAGUAGUAGAUAUCUAUCCUGUAAAUGACCACUGUUGUGAAACUCAGCACUGCCAGAUAUGGGGAACAGCCUGUCAAUUCACUGGUUCUGUUUUUGUUUGUGUUUUUAAAUUGUUUAAUUUAGACCUCACCCAAGUUACAAGAAUUUCACUGACUAUGUUAUGGUCAAUGUUAUAGUAUGGAUCUUCAUCCUACACAGGUAAAACUGGCUGGAAACCUGAAGAGUUUACUAGAACAUCAAAGCUUUGAGGCACAUAUGAUUAAUAAAGUAAAUAUUUUGUCUUAAUAAAAAUUUUACUAAUUUAA
Molecule: long non-coding RNA, 40580 nt
Organism: Numida meleagris (helmeted guineafowl)
Lineage: Eukaryota; Metazoa; Chordata; Aves; Galliformes; Numididae
Exons: 2
Source: RefSeq, a predicted model, not a curated record